UGCGGCUCUCCCAUUGGUAGAGCCGUCGGCUGCCGGCUAGAUUCUCCAAAUGCCGCUUCAAACUGUACGAUAUGCCCGGCAUAAAGCCUCGUGCGAGCGUACACUAGAUGAGAGCCCUGACUAACCGCCACCGCUUCCACCGGUGAUGGUGUGCGUGUGUACGGGUUUAGUCGCUUUGUCUGCCUCCCUCUGCAGCCUUUCGGACCUGCGCUUGUGUAGGUGUACCGGCAAUACUCUUCGAGAUAUCCCGAGCGUUCACACGUUAACGGGAGUGAUUUUUGAGCCUGCGGACGCGCUCUUGGACCUCUUGGAAGAAGACCCCUGACCCAUCUCCACAUGUCCAAGAGCGAAUUAGCCUAGGCGUCUCCGUUCAUGAUUCAUCCACGUUUCUUAUGUCGCUUUAGGUUAAGCCCUUGUCCCGCAUGCUCGAAGAAAAACGGACGCUUCCAGGUACUCGACGAGACGAGACUUCGAGAUGCUUCCUCAAGGCUUUAUACAUAUGAAUUAGCACGGUGUCCGAAAACCGCCUCUCAAAGCGAAUUCUAGUCUCGACCUGGGCAUUUACAUCUGGGUGUUGCCGCGGCUUGACCAUCUCGACCUUGUGAGUUUGAUCGACGACGAUCGCUUUUCGUGGUCGGUUUGCAGUGUUGGAGGAAGUGGACACCUUGGUUCCCCUUUUUUUAUGAAUGAUCACUCGGCUCGUUUAGUCGCUUCGGGAGCCCUGGUUCUGGUUAAAGCGGAUGGAACGAUAGGUCGAGACGCGUCACCUAGGGAUCAAGGUGCUGGAUAGGCAGAAGGAUCCGGAAAUCUGGAAACGCCCAGUCGGAGCAGAACCGGCCGUUGAUCGUGUGAGGUCGAUGAAGAGGCUUGGGAAGGGUCGAGCUUUAAAUUUUGAGUGGGUGAGAGAGAUUUUUCUUGUUUUAGAGGGGCAGGCCUAAAGAUAGAUUCAAGGGCACGGCUUGGGUGCAGUGGGCUAUGACCACGUCGCGUGAAAAGAUCGGAGCCCUCGUAGGAUUAGUGCGUGUACGAGGGUGGGCGCGCCCUAAGGACGGAGCACUGUGCGAAUCGAUAUUCGCCACUUGGAGGCCCUUCAACCUUGUCGCAUUAAUCUCGGCCAGGAUGUCAAUGAUUUGCCCCAAUGACGUCCGGUAAGAGGUAUCAACGUGGUGCUAUAGAAGUCAACGUUCGUCGACUUGGAAGCGGUCUCGAAAAAUGGAGGGGACGUCGACGGUCUCGCCGAAGAUCCGGGAGACUCCGGGAGACUCCGGGGCAGUCUCCGGUGCGUUGAACUUCCCAUCGUACUCCGUAUUGAUUUCAACGGCACCCCGAGACUCGAGCCAGACGUUACCAGCCGUUACCUACUCUGCGUGGCUCGCUCGUGGACAUACCCGUUCCCUUUUUGCCGAUUCGAAAUGGGCCCGAGGAACGGUUCCUGAUGCUAGGGCACCGAGACCGAGCCAUGGCUCGACCCGCACGGCGCUUCACUUUCACUGGCUACGUACUCUACUACUACGUGCAUGACUUAUGCAUGGCUCCGCGCUUCCCGCUGACCGUGCUUCCUUAAACGGUGCGCCACUAAUUAA
RNAcentral lists this long non-coding RNA (1583 nucleotides) under Orussus abietinus. Its description in RNAcentral is "uncharacterized LOC105697450, transcript variant X1". The record is from RNAcentral. Lineage: Eukaryota; Metazoa; Arthropoda; Insecta; Hymenoptera; Orussidae.